RNAcentral lists this ribosomal RNA (595 nucleotides) under uncultured bacterium. RNAcentral's name for it is "bacterial SSU rRNA". It matches the Rfam family "Bacterial small subunit ribosomal RNA", at positions 612 to 1213 of the family's 1533-position model. The record is from RNAcentral.
ACUACGAAACUGCCAUUGAUACUGUAGGGCUUGAAUUAUUGUGAAGUAACUAGAAUAUGUAGUGUAGCGGUGAAAUGCUUAGAUAUUACAUGGAAUACCACUUGCGAAGGCAGGUUACUAACAAUAUAUUGACGCUGAUGGACGAAAGCGUGGGUAGCGAACAGGAUUAGAUACCCUGGUAGUCCACGCCGUAAACGAUGGAUACUAGCUGUUGGGGGCAACUUCAGUGGCUAAGCGAAAGUGAUAAGUAUCCCACCUGGGGAGUACGAACGCAAGUUUGAAACUCAAAGGAAUUGACGGGGGCCCGCACAAGCGGUGGAGCAUGUGGUUUAAUUCGAUGAUACGCGAGGAACCUUACCAAGGCUUAAAUGUAGAUUGACAGGACAGGAAACUGUUUUUUCUUCGGACAAUUUACAAGGUGCUGCAUGGUUGUCGUCAGCUCGUGCCGUGAGGUGUCAGGUUAAGUCCUAUAACGAGCGCAACCCCUGUUGUUAGUUGCCAGCGAGUCAUGUCGGGAACUCUAACGAGACUGCCAGUGCAAACUGUGAGGAAGGUGGGGACUGACGUCAAAUCAUCACGGCCCUUACGCCUUGGG